Molecule: small nuclear RNA, 104 nt
Organism: Meriones unguiculatus (Mongolian gerbil)
Lineage: Eukaryota; Metazoa; Chordata; Mammalia; Rodentia; Muridae
Source: RefSeq, a predicted model, not a curated record
AUGCUCAUAUUGGUAGCACAUAUACAAAAAUUGGAAGAUUACAAAGAUUAGUAUGGCCCCUGUGUAAGGAUGACAAAAAAAUUCAUGAAGCACUCCAUAUUUGG